RNAcentral lists this ribosomal RNA (932 nucleotides) under uncultured bacterium. RNAcentral's name for it is "bacterial SSU rRNA". It matches the Rfam family "Bacterial small subunit ribosomal RNA", at positions 8 to 916 of the family's 1533-position model. The record is from RNAcentral.
AGAGUUUGAUCCUGGCUCAGAACGAACGUUGGCGGCGUGGAUGAGGCAUGCAAGUCGAACGCGAAAGCUCUCUUCGGAGAGUGAGUAGAGUGGCGAACGGGUGAGUAACACGUAAUCAAACUGCCCUCGAGACUGGGAUAACCGCGGGAAACUGCGGCUAAUACCGGAUCGCCCUUCUGGACCGCAUGGUCUGGUUGGUAAAUGGAUGGGAUCCUCCGGGACCAUCUGCUCGGGGAGGUGGUUGCGGCCUAUCAGCUAGUUGGUGGUGUAACGGACCACCAAGGCGACGACGGGUAGCGGGCCUGAGAGGGUGGCCCGUCACACUGGGACUGAGACACUGCCCAGACUCCUACGGGAGGCUGCAGUCGAGAAUCUUCCGCAAUGGACGAAAGUCUGACGGAGCGACGCCGCGUGUAGGACGAAGGCCCUAGGGUUGUAAACUACUGUCACGGGUUAUGAAUGGGCUGCAGUUAAUAGCUGCAGAUUUGACGUAAGCCCGAAAGGAAGCACCGGCUAACUCUGUGCCAGCAGCCGCGGUAAUACAGAGGGUGCAAACGUUGUUCGGAAUUACUGGGCAUAAAGCGCACGUAGGCGGUUAAGUAAGUGUGGAGUGAAAGCCCACGGCUCACCCGUGGAAUUGCUUCGCAUACUGCUUGACUAGAGGAAGGUAGGGGAGAGCAGAACUCUUGGAGGAGCGGUGAAAUGCGUAGAUAUCAAGAGGAAUACCAGUGGCGAAGGCGGCUCUCUGGUCCUUUUCUGACGCUGAGGUGCGAAAGCUAGGGUAGCGAACGGGAUUAGAUACCCCGGUAGUCCUAGCCGUAAACGAUGGAUACUAGCUAGAGGCCCACCUAAGGGUCUCUGGUGAAGCAAAUGUGUUAAGUAUCCCGCCUGGGGAGUAUGGUCGCAAGGCUAAAACUCAAAGGAAUUGACGG